GGGGAAUAUUGGACAAUGGGGGCAACCCUGAUCCAGCCAUGCCGCGUGAGUGAUGACGGCCUUAGGGUUGUAAAGCUCUUUCACCCACGACGAUAAUGACGGUAGUGGGAGAAGAAGCCCCGGCUAACUUCGUGCCAGCAGCCGCGGUAAUACGAAGGGGGCUAGCGUUGUUCGGAAUCACUGGGCGUAAAGCGUACGUAGGCGGACCUGUAAGUCAGGGGUGAAAUCCCGGGGCUCAACCUCGGAAUUGCCUUUGAUACUGCCGGUCUUGAGUUCGGGAGAGGUGAGUGGAACUGCUAGUGUAGAGGUGAAAUUCGUAGAUAUUAGCAAGAACACCAGUGGCGAAGGCGGCUCACUGGCCCGAUACUGACGCUGAGGUACGAAAGCGUGGGGAGCAAAC
RNAcentral lists this ribosomal RNA (400 nucleotides) under uncultured bacterium. Its description in RNAcentral is "bacterial SSU rRNA". It matches the Rfam family "Bacterial small subunit ribosomal RNA", at positions 356 to 773 of the family's 1533-position model. The record is from RNAcentral.